AUGGAGGCAAGUAGCCUACAGUUACUCCCUGAGAGGAGGGAGUUGUAAGGCUGGCAAGCCCAGACAAUGUGGGAGAGCCAGAAGGGCAACAGGAUAGAGGAGGGUGGUGAAUGUUUGUGCACAUGCACUGACCCUUGAGGAAAGCUUUAUCGAAAAGUAUUCAGAAUCUGAAUUGAUGCAUGGCUGUCUUGGUAAACUGGCUUUUCAGAAAACAUUCUCCAACCAAACAAUAGCACAAGCAAAGGU
Long non-coding RNA from Chelonia mydas (Green sea turtle), 246 nucleotides. RefSeq lists it as uncharacterized. The transcript has 3 exons. The record is from RefSeq and is a predicted model, not a curated record. NCBI's taxonomy places the organism in Eukaryota, Metazoa, Chordata, Testudines, Cheloniidae.